AGCGAACGCUGGCGGUAGGCCUAACACAUGCAAGUCGAACGGCAGCACAGUAAGAGCUUGCUCUUACGGGUGGCGAGUGGCGGACGGGUGAGGAAUACAUCGGAAUCUACUUUUUCGUGGGGGAUAACGUAGGGAAACUUACGCUAAUACCGCAUACGACCUACGGGUGAAAGCAGGGGAUCUUCGGACCUUGCGCGAUUGAAUGAGCCGAUGUCGGAUUAGCUAGUUGGCGGGGUAAAGGCCCACCAAGGCGACGAUCCGUAGCUGGUCUGAGAGGAUGAUCAGCCACACUGGAACUGAGACACGGUCCAGACUCCUACGGGAGGCAGCAGUGGGGAAUAUUGGACAAAGGGCGCAAGCCUGAUCCAGCCAUACCGCGUGGGUGAAGAAGGCCUUCGGGUUGUAAAGCCCUUUUGUUGGGAAAGAAAAGCAGCAGGUUAAUACCCCGCUGUUCUGACGGUACCCAAAGAAUAAGCACCGGCUAACUUCGUG
RNAcentral lists this ribosomal RNA (492 nucleotides) under uncultured bacterium. Its description in RNAcentral is "partial 16S ribosomal RNA". It matches the Rfam family "Bacterial small subunit ribosomal RNA", at positions 29 to 507 of the family's 1533-position model. The record is from RNAcentral.